Small nucleolar RNA from Peromyscus maniculatus bairdii (prairie deer mouse), 126 nucleotides. Ensembl annotates it as predicted gene, 24918. NCBI's taxonomy places the organism in Eukaryota, Metazoa, Chordata, Mammalia, Rodentia, Cricetidae. The record is from Ensembl.
UUCCAUGUACCUUUGGGACUUGCCUGCUGUGGCAACCUCCCGUUCUAGCCAGUGAAGAGCAGAUUCUUGUUUAUUGGCAAAGCUGUCACCAUUUAAUUGAUAUUGGUUUCUUUUUUUCUGUGUUUU